CAUUUCUCGAUCACAUAAUAGGAAAACUAACGGCUUUAAUUAAGAUUUAUGAAGCAUAGAGGUAAUAUAUUCUGCUAAAUUAGGUAGCCGUUGGUGGGUAGUAUGCAGUUAGAGAUGAAUUUUCUACAUAUACUUCACUUCCUCGAGCAGUUUUGGUUUAGAAUUGUAAUUUGUAAUGCCGGAAUCCCUAUAUCCAUUAGUAGACAAAACUAAGCAUCAUUUUCUUUUUUAAACUUUGAAUUAAUAGCAUUAAUUUAACGAGGGGCACAUACUACUAAACAUUUCUUUAACCAUUGAUUUCAGGUGGUAGUCAUGUGAGUCUGUAUUGUGUGAAAGAAUGGAAAUCCACCAUUUCAUCCAAAUAACUGGAUAAUUUGAAAGCAAGUGCUUGGAAACUGUUGGUUGUACUUAAAUCAAUUGAUUCAUUUAAAAUAAACAGUUUCGGCUAAAUCAAACUAUUCUGACCUCCCCAGACAUCCUCUUCCCCAUUAACUUUGGAAUAUAAAUCUAGAUUUUCUUCCUCUUUUUUUUGGUAAAAGUUCGAUCCAGCUUUUAAGGCCAGGCUGUGUUAGGUUUAUUUGUGUGCACACCAGGCCUGCUGUGCUGCCUGGUUCUUCAAUAUGGUAGUGAGAUUAUGAGAGUAUCAACUUUGAUUUGCAGGAUAAGCUUUGUUAUGAACGUUGACUGUGGGAAGUGCUUGCAGAUGGACCGGUGGGAGCUGUACCACUUACCCCGACCUAUUUCCCCAUGCAGAGGUGGGUCAGGCUUGAGAUGGGCUGAUGGAAGUUCCUUUCCUGCCAGUGUCCUUUAGGGCAGUGGUUGUCAAAUUUUUGUCUGCAUCAGAAUCACCUGAAGAGCAUCAUAGGCCACAGAGUGCUGGGUCCACCCCUGGAGUUUGUAAUUCUGCAGGUCUCAGGUGGGGCCUAAGGAUCUGAGUUCCCAGCAAGUGAUGCUGAUUCAGGGAUUUUAUUUUGAGGGCUGCUGCUUUGGGGGAGAGAAAUGGAAGUUAAAAUGAGAAAGAGAGGACGGCAGGUGAAGGAGGAAGAGGAGGAGGAGGAAGAAGAAGAAGAAGAGGAGGAAGAAGAGGAGACAGUGGAGG
RNAcentral lists this long non-coding RNA (1099 nucleotides) under Marmota monax (woodchuck). Lineage: Eukaryota; Metazoa; Chordata; Mammalia; Rodentia; Sciuridae. The record is from RNAcentral.